UACGGAGGGUGCGAGCGUUGUCCGGAAUCAUUGGGCGUAAAGGGCGCGUAGGUGGCCCGGUCAGUCGAUGGUGAAAGCGCGGGGCUCAACUCCGCGUCGGCCGUCGAUACUGCUGGGCUUGAGCACUGUAGAGGCAGGCGGAAUUCCGGGUGUAGCGGUGGAAUGCGUAGAGAUCCGGAAGAACACCGGUGGCGAAGGCGGCCUGCUGGGCAGUGGCUGACACUGAGGCGCGACAGCGUGGGGAGCGAACAGG
RNAcentral lists this ribosomal RNA (253 nucleotides) under uncultured bacterium. RNAcentral's name for it is "partial 16S ribosomal RNA". It matches the Rfam family "Bacterial small subunit ribosomal RNA", at positions 524 to 776 of the family's 1533-position model. The record is from RNAcentral.